GGAGGGGUGCAAGCGUUAAUCGGAAUUACUGGGCGUAAAGCGCACGCAGGCGGUCUGUCAAGUCGGGAUGUGAAAUCCCCGGGCUCAACCUGGGAACUGCAUCCGAAACUGGCAGGCUAGAGUCUUGUAGAGGGGGGUAGAAUUCCAGGUGUAGCGGUGAAAUGCGUAGAGAUCUGGAGGAAUACCGGUGGCGAAGGCGGCUCCCUGGACAAAGACUGACGCUCAGGUGCGAAAGCGUGGGGAGCAAACAGGAUUAGAUACCCUGGUAGUCCACGCCGUAAACGAUGUCGACUUGGAGGUUGUGCCCUUGAGGCGUGGCUUCCGGAGCUAACGCGUUAAGUCGACCGCCUGGGGAGUACGGCCGCUAGGUUA
This 372-nucleotide ribosomal RNA is filed under the name uncultured organism. Its description in RNAcentral is "partial 16S ribosomal RNA". It matches the Rfam family "Bacterial small subunit ribosomal RNA", at positions 526 to 896 of the family's 1533-position model. The record is from RNAcentral.